This 478-nucleotide ribosomal RNA is filed under the name uncultured bacterium. Its description in RNAcentral is "partial 16S ribosomal RNA". It matches the Rfam family "Bacterial small subunit ribosomal RNA", at positions 28 to 523 of the family's 1533-position model. The record is from RNAcentral.
GACGAACGCUGGCGGCGUGCUUAACACAUGCAAGUCGAACGGUAAGGCCCUUCGGGGUACACGAGUGGCGAACGGGUGAGUAACACGUGGGUGAUCUGCCCUGCACUUCGGGAUAAGCCUGGGAAACUGGGUCUAAUACCGGAUAGGACUCCUGGCUUCAUGGUUGGGGGUGGUAAGCUUUUGCGGUGGGGGAUGGGCCCGCGGCCUAUCAGCUUGUUGGUGGGGGAAUGGCCUACCAAGGCGACGACGGGUAGCCGGCCUGAGAGGGUUACCGGUCACACUGGGACUGAGAGACGGCCCAGACUCGUACGGGAGGCAGCAGUGGGGAAUGUUGCACAAGGGGCGCAAGCCUGAUGCAGCGACGCCGCGUGAGGGAUGACGGCCUUCGGGUUGUAAACCUCUUUCAGCUAUGACGAAGCGCAAGUGACGGUAGUAGCAGAAGAAGGACCGGCCAACUACGUGCCAGCCGCCGCCGUAA